RNAcentral lists this non-coding RNA (45 nucleotides) under Trichobilharzia regenti. Lineage: Eukaryota; Metazoa; Platyhelminthes; Trematoda; Strigeidida; Schistosomatidae. The record is from RNAcentral.
AUCCAGAUGACGAGUCCCAAAUAGGACGAAAUGCGCACCCUGGAU